RNAcentral lists this ribosomal RNA (449 nucleotides) under uncultured bacterium. RNAcentral's name for it is "bacterial SSU rRNA". It matches the Rfam family "Bacterial small subunit ribosomal RNA", at positions 329 to 794 of the family's 1533-position model. The record is from RNAcentral.
GGCCAGACUCCUACGGGAGGCAGCAGUGGGGGAUAUUGCACAAUGGGGGGAACCCUGAUGCAGCGACGCCGCGUGGGUGAAGAAGUAUUUCGGUAUGUAAAGCCCUAUCGGCAGGGAAGAAAUUGGACGGUACCUGACUAAGAAGCCCCGGCUAACUACGUGCCAGCAGCCGCGGUAAUACGUAGGGGGCAAGCGUUAUCCGGAUUUACUGGGUGUAAAGGGAGCGCAGGCGGCACGGCAAGCCUGAUGUGAAAGCCCGCGGCCCAACCGCGGGACUGCAUUGGGGACUACCGGGCUGGAGUGCCGGGGAGGUAGGCGGAAUUCCUAGUGUAGCGGUGAAAUGCGUAGAUAUCAGGAGGAACACCGGUGGCGAAGGCGGCCUGCUGGACUGCAACUGACGUUGAGGCCCGAAAGCGUGGGGAGCAAACAGGAUUAGAUACCCUCGUAUC